RNAcentral lists this ribosomal RNA (998 nucleotides) under Rodentolepis nana. RNAcentral's name for it is "SSU rRNA". It matches the Rfam family "Eukaryotic small subunit ribosomal RNA", at positions 1045 to 1831 of the family's 1831-position model. The record is from RNAcentral. Lineage: Eukaryota; Metazoa; Platyhelminthes; Cestoda; Cyclophyllidea; Hymenolepididae.
ACUGACGAUCCGUGGCGGUAGUUUCAAACCUUUCCCACCGGGCAGUCUCGGGAGGGCUUUAGGUCUUUUGGGUUCGGGGGAGGUAUGGUUGCAAAGCUGAGAGUUAAAGGAGUUGACGGAGGGGCACCACCAGGAGUGGAGCCUGCGGCUUAAUUUGACUCAACACGGGAAAACUCACCCGGGCCGGACACUGUGAGGAGUGACAGAUUGAUAGCUCUUUCUUGAUUUGGUGGUUGGUGGUGCAUGGCCGUUCUUAGUUGGUGGAGCGAUUUGUCUGGUUAAUUCCGAUAACGAACGAGACUCCAGCCUGCUAAUUAGUGCAUUUGUCCACUGCACCAGCCGAGCGGCGCAGUGUCAACUGCUCUGGCUCAGUGCAGGAACCGGCGCGUUUGUGCAUCCUGCGUGGUCGCACUGCCUCGUGUGGUGUGGCUGUGUGGGGCUAUGCGCGGCGUGUUAGGCCUGCAUGUUGUGCCUGGGGCGGAUGGCACCACGUUAGCUAGCAGGUGCGGCGCGAAUGCUUACUUCUUAGAGGGACACGCGGGAGAAGCCGCACGAAAUAGAGCAAUAACAGGUCUGUGAUGCCCUUAGAUGUCCGGGGCCGCACGCGCGCUACAAUGGCGGUGUCAACGAGUCAGACCUUCUGGCCUGAAAAGGUUGGGCAAACUGGUCAAUCACCGUCAUGACAGGGAUCGGGGCUUGGAAUUGUUCCCCGUGAACGAGGAAUUCCUAGUAAGUGCAAGUCAUAAGCUUGCGCUGAUUACGUCCCUGCCCUUUGUACACACCGCCCGUCGCUACUACCGAUUGAAUGGUUUAGUAAGGUCCUUGGAUUGGUGCCAUUUAGGUUCCGCCGAAAGGUGCGUAUCUAGCCGGCGCCCAGAAGACAACCAACUUGAUCUUUAGAGAAUAAAUUGCUACAGCACUACCACCACGGGAUCGUCAGUUGGCAUCGUUUAGGCAAAAAAAGGGGAAGAAAAAAAACAAACAAAAAGGAGGGGGAA